GUCUGGAUGGCUUAGUGGUCAGAGCAUUUGCCCACCGAGCAAGAAAUCCGGGUUCCAAUCCCGGUCCGGUACU
Molecule: non-coding RNA, 73 nt
Organism: Schistocerca cancellata (South American locust)
Lineage: Eukaryota; Metazoa; Arthropoda; Insecta; Orthoptera; Acrididae
Source: the annotation of a RefSeq genome assembly